RNAcentral lists this ribosomal RNA (309 nucleotides) under uncultured bacterium. RNAcentral's name for it is "bacterial SSU rRNA". It matches the Rfam family "Bacterial small subunit ribosomal RNA", at positions 28 to 334 of the family's 1533-position model. The record is from RNAcentral.
GAUGGACGCUGGCGGCGUGCAUAACACAUUCAAGUCGAACGGAGUUAAAGAAGCUUGCUUUUUUAACUUAGUGGCGGACGGGUGAGUAACGCGUGAGUAACCUGCCUAUACGAGUGGAAUAACACAGGGAAACUUGUGCUAAUACCGCAUAAUAUGUAAGCUUCGCAUGUAGUUUACAUCAAAGAGCAAUCGCGUAUAGAUGGACUCGCGUCUGAUUAGAUAGUUGGUGAGGUAACGGCUCACCAAGUCGACGAUCAGUAGCCGAACUGAGAGGGUGAACGGCCACAAGGGGACUGAGACACGGCCCUU